ACGGAAGGCAGCAGUGGGGAAUAUUGCACAAUGGGGGAAACCCUGAUGCAGUGGCGCCGCGUAUAGGAAGAAGGUCUUUGGAUUGUAAACUAUUGUCGACAGGGAAGAAAAAAAUGACAGUACCUGUGGAGGAAGCCCCGGCAAACUACGUGCCAGCAGCCGCGGUAAUACGUAGGGGGCGAGCGUUAUCCGGAUUUAUUGGGUGUAAAGGGUGCGUAGACGGUUUAGCAAGUUAGUUGUGAAAUCCCUGAGCUCAACUCAGGAACUGCAACUAAAACUGUUGAACUUGAGUGCGGGAGAGGAAAGCGGAAUUCCUAGUGUAGCGGUGAAAUGCGUAGAUAUUAGGAGGAACACCAGUGGCGAAGGCGGCUUUCUGGACCGUAACUGACGCUGAGGCACGAAAGUGUGGGGAGCAAACAGGAUUAGAUACCCUGGUA
RNAcentral lists this ribosomal RNA (437 nucleotides) under uncultured Oscillospiraceae bacterium. Its description in RNAcentral is "bacterial SSU rRNA". It matches the Rfam family "Bacterial small subunit ribosomal RNA", at positions 341 to 792 of the family's 1533-position model. The record is from RNAcentral. Lineage: Bacteria; Bacillati; Bacillota; Clostridia; Eubacteriales; Oscillospiraceae.